AAACUUUGCAAUGUGCGAAAGCACGACAAGGUUAAUCCGAGUGAUUUGUGCUAAACGAAUCUUUUGUUAGUUCUAGAAAUACUAACGAAUAAGGGGUGGGCAAGUUCUGGUGUCAGCCGCCGCGGUAAAACCAGCACCUCAAGUGGUCAGGAUGAUUAUUGGGCCUAAAGCAUCCGUAGCCGGCUCUGUAAGUUUUCGGUUAAAUCUGUACGCUUAACGUACAGGCUGCCGGGAAUACUGCAGAGCUAGGGAGUGGGAGAGGUAGACGGUACUCGGGAGGAAGUGGUAAAAUGCUUUGAUCUCUCGAUGACCACCUGUGGCGAAGGCGGUCUACCAGAACACGUCCGACGGUGAGGGAUGAAAGCUGGGGGAGCAAACCGGAUUAGAUACCCGGGUAGUCCCAGCUGUAAACUAUGCAAACUCAGUGAUGCAUUGACUUGUGGUCAAUGCAGUGCUGCAGGGAAGCCGUUAAGUUUGCCGCCUGGGAAGUACGUACGCAAGUAUGAAACUUAA
This 513-nucleotide ribosomal RNA is filed under the name uncultured archaeon. RNAcentral's name for it is "bacterial SSU rRNA". It matches the Rfam family "Archaeal small subunit ribosomal RNA", at positions 345 to 859 of the family's 1478-position model. The record is from RNAcentral.